GGGAGAUUAGAGCCGUUUGAAGGGAGUUGUGAGAUCUUUCGGGAUUUCAAGGCUUCUUAGGACUUAUCUUUUAAUUUCUUGCUAUCAAUUCUUUCUUUAUUUCUGUCUGCGCUGAAUCUUUAUCUAAUUUAUUUAUUUUUUUGUUUUUAUUGUGUUUUCAGCCUUUUUCUAUCUUAAGGAAUCAGCCCAAAAAAAAUCCCCAAUUUCUAGGGUUCUUCCACACUCUUUUUGGGUAAAAUCAGAUUGUCGAAAUUUGGGGAGAACUAUCUUGGUGUUCAAUUGGGCAGAAUCGCAAUCUCCUCUAGGGUUUCAAGAUUCCUUAUUAACAUUUCUAUUCUCAAUUUGAUUCUUUACUGUUUGGGGGAUUUUAUUUCAGAUCUGGAAAUUCAAAAUUCUAAUCUUUUAAUUUUCUGUUUCGUUUCAGAUCUGAUUGUUUAGGGUUUUUCGUAGGAGUUUCCUGUGACUUGGCAACUUGAUCUUGGCCCGCGCACAACCCCCGUAUCAUUUGGUAUCAGAUUUUGGGCGUUUUGGGUGUUCUUGGUUGAUUUCUAAACUGAUCUCUAUUUUUUAAAUUACAAACAGCAGUUUUACCCAGAAAAAUUUUCGAAAAAAAUUCAUUUGAGCGGGUAAACGUUUUCUGAUUGAUCUGAAAUUUUACAUACAUAUUUGUGGCACUGUUAUUGAAUAUAAAAAAAUAUUUCCCACAAAAAAAUAAGUCGAAAAAGUCAAAGAAUUGAAAAAAGACGAAAUCCAAUAAAAAAUUAAAAAAAUAUUCAGCGGGUUGAUUUUGGUGCCCAAAUUUUCCAGAUCAAAAAUUCAAUAUUUGAAGACAUUCCAGAUUUAAUUUUGUGAUUUUUUGAGAUCGGGAACACCUCGAACGAAGUUGUCAAGUUACUCCGCAG
RNAcentral lists this long non-coding RNA (902 nucleotides) under Gossypium raimondii (Peruvian cotton). RNAcentral describes it as "long non-coding RNA (GRAI_LNC003764)". Lineage: Eukaryota; Viridiplantae; Streptophyta; Magnoliopsida; Malvales; Malvaceae. The record is from RNAcentral.